AACGAACGCUGGCGGCAUGCCUAACACAUGCAAGUCGAACGAGACCUUCGGGUCUAGUGGCGCACGGGUGCGUAACGCGUGGGAACCUGCCCUUAGGUUCGGAAUAACUCCCCGAAAGGGGUGCUAAUACCGGAUAAUGUCUUCGGACCAAAGAUUUAUCGCCUUUGGAUGGGCCCGCGUUGGAUUAGCUAGUUGGUAGGGUAAAAGCCUACCAAGGCGACGAUCCAUAGCUGGUCUGAGAGGAUGAUCAGCCACACUGGGACUGAGACACGGCCCAGACUCCUACGGGAGGCAGCAGUGGGAAAUAUUGGACAAUGGGCGAAAGCCUGAUCCAGCAAUGCCGCGUGAGUGAUGAAGGCCUUAGGGUUGUAAAGCUCUUUUACCCGGGAUGAUAAUGACAGUACCGGGAGAAUAAGCUCCGGCUAACUCCGU
Molecule: ribosomal RNA, 432 nt
Filed under: uncultured bacterium
Lineage: Bacteria
Description: partial 16S ribosomal RNA
Rfam family: Bacterial small subunit ribosomal RNA
Source: RNAcentral